CCUACGGGAGGCAGCAGUGGGGAAUAUUGGGCAAUGGGCGCAAGCCUGACCCAGCAACGCCGCGUGAAGGAAGAAGGCUUUCGGGUUGUACACUUCUUUUCUCAGGGACGAAGAAAGUGACGGUACCUGAGGAAUAAGCCACGGCUAACUACGUGCCAGCAGCCGCGGUAAUACGUAGGUGGCAAGCGUUAUCCGGAUGUAUUGGGUGUAAAGGGCGUGUAGGCGGGAGCGCAAGUCAGAUGUGAAAACUCAGGGCUCAACCCUGAGACUGCAUUUGAAACUGUGUUUCUUGAGGGCUGGAGAGGCAGGCGGAAGUCCUGGUGUAGCGGUGAAAUGCGUAGAUAUACGGAGGAACACCAGUGGCGAAGGCGGAUUGCUGGACAGUAACUGACGCUGAGGCGCGAAAGCGUGGGGAGCAAACAGGAUUAGAUACCCCAGUAGUC
Molecule: ribosomal RNA, 443 nt
Filed under: uncultured bacterium
Lineage: Bacteria
Description: partial 16S ribosomal RNA
Rfam family: Bacterial small subunit ribosomal RNA
Source: RNAcentral